Molecule: long non-coding RNA, 1559 nt
Organism: Oncorhynchus keta (chum salmon)
Lineage: Eukaryota; Metazoa; Chordata; Actinopteri; Salmoniformes; Salmonidae
Exons: 3
Source: RefSeq, a predicted model, not a curated record
AUAACGAAUAUUUUACAUAUUAGAGUUUGGGGGAGCCAUACAGUAAUACUUUAAUGGAAAUAUAAGUACAUACAAGGGCCUAUUAGGGUGCAAUUAAAUGGGUGCAAAAAGACUAAUUAUGUACAUAUAUUUAUGGAUACAUUUUAACGAUAACUUCCCUCUGAAAUUGACAUUUCGGGAAGUGAAGCAAGUUUGAAGCUGGCUGAUAUUUUUUUUAUUUAAAUGGAGACUACGAAGCGCUCAUGCGUAAAGGGACGGUUUACAAAGAUAAAGGGAAGUAUGCGGUGUCAGCGUGAGAUAGAAGGCUUGCUUCCUGUUCCUUUUUGUAUAAAAAAAAUAUUAAGUGUGAGACUUCAAAAUCUUGUAGUCUUUGAACCGUUGGAAAUCUUACAACGCCAUUUGGAGAACUGCCUUAUUGCGCACGUAACGCACAUUUCAUACUUCCAUCCAAAUAUGAACAUAAUGCGUGCUCUUUAACUACAUUUAUAUGGGGCCAAGGUUUGUGGUGAGACUACAGUGCGGAGUCACAUACUUUCAUUGCGGAGUGACAAGAAGAUAGGGGGCGUGAGCUAACUAGAAUGCAGCACUUGUUUUACUACCCUACUACAUCCCAAGUUUACUGUAGACUGUGAGGUAUGGUUCAUUGCCACUGUAUCCUAUAUCCAGAGUCUACUGUAGACUGUGAGGUAUGGUUCAUUGCCACUGUAUCCUAUAUCCAAAGUUUACUGUAGACUGUGAGGUAUGGUUCAUUGCCACUGUAUCCUAUAUCCAAAGUCUACUGUAGACUGUGAGGUAUGGUUCAUUGCCACUGUAUCCUAUAUCCAAAGUUUACUGUAGACUGUGAGGUAUGGUUCAUUGCCACUGUAUCCUAUAUCCAAAGUCUACUGUAGACUGUGAGGUAUGGUUCAUUGCCACUGUAUCCUAUAUCCAGAGUUUACUGUAGACUGUGAGGUAUGGUUCAUUGCCACUGUAUCCUAUAUCCAGAGUUUACUGUAGACUGUGAGGUAUGGUUCAUUGCCACUGUAUCCUAUAUCCAGAGUCUACUGUAGACUGUGAGGUAUGGUUCAUUGCCACUGUAUCCUAUAUCCAAAGUCUACUGUAGACUGUGAGGUAUGGUUCAUUGCCACUGUAUCCUAUAUCCAAAGUCUACUGUAGACUGUGAGGUAUGGUUCAUUGCCACUGUAUCCUAUAUCCAAAGUUUACUGUAGACUGUGAGGUAUGGUUCAUUGCCACUGUAUCCUAUAUCCAAAGUCUACUGUAGACUGUGAGGUAUGGUUCAUUGCCACUGUAUCCUAUAUCCAAAGUUUACUGUAGACUGUGAGGUAUGGUUCAUUGCCACUGUAUCCUAUAUCCAAAGUUUACUGUAGACUGUGAGGUAUGGUUCAUUGCCACUGUAUCCUAUAUCCAAAGUCUACUGUAGACUGUGAGGUAUGGUUCAUUGCCACUGUAUCCUAUAUCCAAAGUUUACUGUAGACUGUGAGGUAUGGUUCAUUGCCACUGUAUCCUAUAUCCAAAGUUUACUGUAGACUGUGAGGUAUGGUUCAUUGCCACUGUAUCCU